AGAGUUUGAUCCUGGCUCAGGACGAACGCUGGCGGCGUGCUUAGCACAUGCAAGUCGAACGGAAAGGCCCUUCGGGGUACUCGAGUGGCGAACGGGUGAGUAACACGUGGGUGAUCUGCCCUGCACUUUGGGAUAAGCCUGGGAAACUGGGUCUAAUACCGAAUAUGACCAUGCGCCUCCUGGUGUGUGGUGGAAAGCUUUCGCGGUGUGGGAUGGGCCCGCGGCCUAUCAGCUUGUUGGUGGGGUAAUGGCCUACCAAGGCGACGACGGGUAGCCGGCCUGAGAGGGUGACCGGCCACACUGGGACUGAGAUACGGCCCAGACUCCUACGGGAGGCAGCAGUGGGGAAUAUUGCACAAUGGGCGCAAGCCUGAUGCAGCGACGCCGCGUGAGGGAUGACGGCCUUCGGGUUGUAAACCUCUUUCAGCACAGACGAAGCGCAAGUGACGGUAUGUGCAGAAGAAGGACCGGCCAACUACGUGCCAGCAGCCGCGGUAAUACGUAGGGUCCGAGCGUUGUCCGGAAUUACUGGGCGUAAAGAGCUCGUAGGUGGUUUGUCGCGUUGUUCGUGAAAACUCACAGCUUAACUGUGGGCGUGCGGGCGAUACGGGCAGACUUGAGUACUGCAGGGGAGACUGGAAUUCCUGGUGUAGCGGUGGAAUGCGCAGAUAUCAGGAGGAACACCGGUGGCGAAGGCGGGUCUCUGGGCAGUAACUGACGCUGAGGAGCGAAAGCGUGGGGAGCGAACAGGAUUAGAUACCCUGGUAGUCC
Molecule: ribosomal RNA, 771 nt
Filed under: uncultured bacterium
Lineage: Bacteria
Description: bacterial SSU rRNA
Rfam family: Bacterial small subunit ribosomal RNA
Source: RNAcentral